Molecule: non-coding RNA, 121 nt
Filed under: Streptomyces tsukubensis
Lineage: Bacteria; Bacillati; Actinomycetota; Actinomycetes; Kitasatosporales; Streptomycetaceae
Description: Glycine sequence
Rfam family: Glycine riboswitch aptamer
About the family: This family represents the bacterial glycine riboswitch.
Source: Rfam by way of RNAcentral
UGAAUCCGCGCGGGAGAGUUCCGGCCGGGUCGUACGCAUCUCUGUACGGCCCGCGUCACAGGAACGCCGAAGGAGCAAGUCCCUCCCUUGAAUCUCUCAGGCCCCGUACCGCGCGGGCGAG